AACUGAUACUACCUGCGGGAACCUGCGGAGGGAUCAUUACUGAAGUGAUUUGGGGAUGUUGUUGGCCCUCUCUCAAGGGGGGGCACUGUGCACUCCUCGAAACAAUUCACAAUUUCCAUCACACCCCUUGUGCACACCUUGUAGGCACCCAAACCCACCUCCGGGUGGUGGGGUCCUAUGUAUUCCUUCAUCUCACACUCUGUUGAAUGGUGCCAUGGGACGCAUCUAAAGGAUUAUUUG
This 240-nucleotide unclassified non-coding RNA is filed under the name soil metagenome. RNAcentral's name for it is "partial contains 5.8S ribosomal RNA, internal transcribed spacer 2, and large subunit ribosomal RNA". The record is from RNAcentral.